GCCCUUAUAGCUCAGUGGUAGAGCGCGACACUCGUAUCACGUGACUCUCCAUGUGAGGAAUGUCGAGGUCCAUCGUUCAAUCCGGUGUGGGGGCA
Non-coding RNA from Hypoxylon sp. FL1857, 95 nucleotides. The record is from the annotation of a GenBank genome assembly. Lineage: Eukaryota; Fungi; Ascomycota; Sordariomycetes; Xylariales; Hypoxylaceae.